Molecule: long non-coding RNA, 830 nt
Filed under: Lathyrus oleraceus (garden pea)
Lineage: Eukaryota; Viridiplantae; Streptophyta; Magnoliopsida; Fabales; Fabaceae
Description: Pisum sativum (pea) long non-coding RNA (PSAT_LNC038697)
Source: RNAcentral
UUUAACAAUAAUAUUUUAAUUAAUCACACAAUUUAAUCAACUAUCAUGGGUUUAAGAACAAUAUUUUAAUCAUUCACACAAUUGAAUCAAAUGUCAUGGGGUUAACAACAACAUUUUCAUCAUUCACACAAUUCAAUCAAAUUUCAUGGGUUUAAAAACAACAUUUUCAUCAUUAGAACAAUUCAACCAAAUUUCAUUUGCUUUAUAACAACAUUUUCAUCAUUCAUAUAAUUCAAUCAAAUUUCAUGGAUUUAAUAAGAACAUUUUCAUCAUUCACACAAUUCAAUCGAAUUUCAUGGGUUUAACAACAACAUUUUCAUCAUUCAUACAAUUCAAUCAAAUUUCAUGGGUUCAACAACAACAACAUUUUCAUUAUUCACACAAUUCUAUCAAAUUUCAUUUGUUUAACAUCAACAUUUUCAUCAUUCACACAAUUCAAUCAAAUUUCAUGAAUUUAACAACAACAACAUUUUCAUCAUUCACACAAUUCAAUCAAAUUUCAUGGGUUUAACAACAACAUUUUCAUCAUUCACACAAUUCAAUCAAAUUUCAUGGGUUUAACAACAACAUUUUCAUCAUUCACACAAUUCAAUCAAAUUUCAUGGGUUUAACAACAACAUUUUCAUCAUUCACACAAUUCAAUCAAAUUUCAUGGGUUUAACAACAACAACAUUUUCAUCAUUCAUACAAUUCAAUCAAAUUUCAUGGGUUCAACAACAACAACAUUUUCAUUAUUCACACAAUUCUAUCAAAUUUCAUUGGUUUAACAUCAACAUUUUCAUCAUUCACACAAUUCAAUCAAAUUUCAUGGAUUUAACAACAACAACAUU